This 199-nucleotide long non-coding RNA is filed under the name Solanum tuberosum (potato). RNAcentral describes it as "long non-coding RNA (STUB_LNC002094)". Lineage: Eukaryota; Viridiplantae; Streptophyta; Magnoliopsida; Solanales; Solanaceae. The record is from RNAcentral.
CUCGCAGCAAUCUUCAGCAACAAUGGCUUCUCUAGUUUUUGCUCGGAGAUUUUCUUCCAAGCUUCGUAAGCAUUCUUCUUCUUCUCCACGCUCAUACCUCACACAUACUAGAGAUGACUUUUCAGUCCCAAAAAUCUCAAACUCAUUCUCUUCAACCUUCAAUCGGCAUUGCAAUUCAACUGCCAAAAACUCAAAAUCC